GUGCGUCAUUUGAUUCAGGUGUGGACCUUGACGUCUGCACCUCUUAAUACGGUGUCACCCAUGUUCUUCGUUUGCCCAGUAGUUCAAAGUGCGGUGUUGGCAGUAUCUUGCUCAGUGUGUUUGUACUCGUAGUGUACCUGCUCAUAGAGACAAGGCAGAGAUCAAGUGCAUGGGCCCUGUUGGUGGAAAACACCAAUAGAACCAAAAGUGUAUUUGUUCUUCUCUAACCUUAAGUAUGGUGAGCAAGACAAAGUUGAUGAAUGAUAAGUUCAUGAGUGUAGCAUUU
Molecule: long non-coding RNA, 286 nt
Filed under: Sorghum bicolor (sorghum)
Lineage: Eukaryota; Viridiplantae; Streptophyta; Magnoliopsida; Poales; Poaceae
Description: long non-coding RNA (SBIC_LNC013946)
Source: RNAcentral